UUGGAAAAUAUGUCCCAAAGCCAAUCAUUAGACGAUUGUGCUCAUCUUGUAAAUUAUAUAUAAAUUUUUAUUAAUAAAAAUUAUUUGAUAUUUUUAUUAUAAAUUGACCAUCUUUGAACUCCUGUGUUAUAAUGAAGUCUUUAGGACUAUUAUUAAUCGACAAAAGAGGAUUUAUCGUUAAGUCCUUAAAAAUAUUUGCGACCAAACGAUAUGC
Molecule: long non-coding RNA, 214 nt
Filed under: Elaeis guineensis (African oil palm)
Lineage: Eukaryota; Viridiplantae; Streptophyta; Magnoliopsida; Arecales; Arecaceae
Description: long non-coding RNA (EGUI_LNC076586)
Source: RNAcentral